RNAcentral lists this ribosomal RNA (254 nucleotides) under uncultured bacterium. RNAcentral describes it as "partial 16S ribosomal RNA". It matches the Rfam family "Bacterial small subunit ribosomal RNA", at positions 524 to 776 of the family's 1533-position model. The record is from RNAcentral.
UACGGGGGGAGCAAGCGUUGUUCGGAUUUACUGGGCGUAAAGGGCGCGUAGGCGGCCACCGCAAGUCGACUGUGAAAUCUCCGGGCUUAACCCGGAAAGGUCAGCCGAUACUGCGGGGCUAGAGUGCAGAAGGGGCAACUGGAAUUCUCGGUGUAGCGGUGAAAUGCGUAGAUAUCGAGAGGAACACCUGCGGCGAAGGCGGGUUGCUGGGCUGACACUGACGCUGAUGUGCGAAGGCUAGGGGAGCGAACGGG